CCGUCUCGACGACGAAGGCCAUAAUCGAUGUUGUUUCUGACUGGAACAUAUUGUAAAUUGUAGCCAUCUUGACCUUCGACUAAUUCAGGACAAUGACUCAACACACCUCCAGGCUGUGUAAGGGUUAAUUUACCAAGGAGAGUGAUGGAGUGCUGCAUCAGAUGACCUGGCCUCCAUAAUCCCCCGACCUCAACCAAAUUGUGAUGGUUUGGGAUGAGUCGGACCGCAGAGUGAAGGAAAUGUGUGGGAACUCCAUCAAGACUGUUGGAAAAGCAUUUCAGGUGAAGCUGGCUGAGAGAAUCCCAAGAGUGUGCUAAGCUGUCUUCAAGGCAAAGGGUGGCUAUUUAAAGAAUCUCAAAUAUAAAAUAUAUUUUGAUUUGUUGGUUUCUACAUGAUUUCAUGGUUUUGAUGUCUUCACUAUUAUUCUACAAUGUAGAAAAUGGUAAAAAUAAAGAAAAACCCUUGAAUGAGUAGGUCUCCAUAAACGUUUGACCGGUAGUGUGUAGGUUGGAGUUAUUAAAACUCAUUGUUCAACCAAGCCCUGACCUCAAUCCUAUAGACAAUUUGUGGGCAGAACUGAAAAGGCAUGUGCGAGCAAGGCCUACAAACCUGACUCAGUUACACCAGCUCUGUCAGGAGGAAUUUAUUGUGGGAAGCCUGUACCUGAAAUGACCCAAGUUAAACAAUUUAAAGGCAAUGCUACCAAAUACUAAUUGAGUGUAUUUAAACUUCUGACCCACUGGGAAUGUGAUGAAAGAAAUAAAAGCUUAAAUAAA
Long non-coding RNA from Oncorhynchus nerka (sockeye salmon), 776 nucleotides. RefSeq lists it as uncharacterized. NCBI's taxonomy places the organism in Eukaryota, Metazoa, Chordata, Actinopteri, Salmoniformes, Salmonidae. The record is from RefSeq and is a predicted model, not a curated record. The transcript is spliced from 2 exons.